Molecule: transfer RNA, 45 nt
Filed under: Diporiphora magna
Lineage: Eukaryota; Metazoa; Chordata; Lepidosauria; Squamata; Agamidae
Description: partial tRNA-Tyr
Source: RNAcentral
GGUGGGUUGUAAUUCCAUUCAUGGGGUGUAAGUCCCCUCUUUACA